Molecule: ribosomal RNA, 467 nt
Filed under: uncultured bacterium
Lineage: Bacteria
Description: partial 16S ribosomal RNA
Rfam family: Bacterial small subunit ribosomal RNA
Source: RNAcentral
GACGAACGCUGGCGGCGUGCUUAACACAUGCAAGUCGAACGGAAAGGCCUCUUUCGGGGGGUACUCGAGUGGCGAACGGGUGAGUAACACGUGAGUAACCUGCCCUUGACUUUGGGAUAACUUCAGGAAACUGGGGCUAAUACCGGAUAGGAGCUCCUGCUGCAUGGUGGGGGUUAGAAAGUUUCGGCGGUUGGGGAUGGACUCGCGGCUUAUCAGCUUGUUGGUGGGGUAGUGGCUUACCAAGGCUUUGACGGGUAGCCGGCCUGAGAGGGUGACCGGCCACAUUGGGACUGAGAUACGGCCCAGACUCCUACGGGAGGCAGCAGUGGGGAAUAUUGCACAAUGGGUGGAAGCCUGAUGCAGCAACGCCGUGUGCGGGAUGACGGCCUUCGGGUUGGAAACCGCUUUCGCUCAUGACGAAGCUUUGUGUGACGGUAGUGGGUAAAGAAGCACCGGCUAACUACGUG